RNAcentral lists this ribosomal RNA (393 nucleotides) under uncultured bacterium. RNAcentral describes it as "partial 16S ribosomal RNA". It matches the Rfam family "Bacterial small subunit ribosomal RNA", at positions 523 to 918 of the family's 1533-position model. The record is from RNAcentral.
AUACGUAGGGGGCGAGCGUUGUCCGGAAUGAUUGGGCGUAAAGGGCGCGUAGGCGGCCCGGUAAGUCUGGAGUGAAAGUCCUGUUUUUAAGAUGGGAAUUGCUUUGGAUACUGUCGGGCUUGAGUGAAGUAGAGGUAAGCGGAAUUCCUGGUGUAGCGGUGAAAUGCGUAGAUAUCAGGAGGAACACCGGUGGCGAAGGCGGCUUUAUGGGAUUUUAAUGGCGCUGAGGCUCGAAAGGGUGGGGAGCAAACAGGAUUAGAUACCCUGGUAGUCCGCACAGUAAACGAUGAAUACUUGUUUUCGGCGAUAUAAUGUCGGAGGCAAAGCGAAAGCGAUAAGUAUUCCACCUGGGGAGUACGCCGGCAACGGUGAAACUCAAAUGAAUGGGCGGGG